GUCUAUGGCCAUAACAUACAGAACACUUGAGGUCUUAUCUAAAGCUAAGCAGGGUCAGAUCUGGUUAGUGCUUGGAUGGAAGACAGCCUAGAAACACUGGGUGUUGUAGGCU
Molecule: ribosomal RNA, 112 nt
Filed under: Jaculus jaculus (lesser Egyptian jerboa)
Lineage: Eukaryota; Metazoa; Chordata; Mammalia; Rodentia; Dipodidae
Source: RNAcentral